AGCCAGUCAGAAAUGAGCUUAUUCAUAAAAGUGCAGUAUGGUGAAGUCAAUCUGUAAUUUUAUGUAUAAGCUAGUCUCUGAUUGAAACAUGCAGCA
This 96-nucleotide microRNA precursor is filed under the name Pan troglodytes (chimpanzee). Its description in RNAcentral is "microRNA ptr-mir-590 precursor". Its record names the gene ptr-mir-590. The stretch from base 1 to 86 matches the Rfam family "mir-590 microRNA precursor family". Lineage: Eukaryota; Metazoa; Chordata; Mammalia; Primates; Hominidae. The record is from miRBase by way of RNAcentral.